Molecule: long non-coding RNA, 1079 nt
Filed under: Carassius auratus (goldfish)
Lineage: Eukaryota; Metazoa; Chordata; Actinopteri; Cypriniformes; Cyprinidae
Description: lncRNA (ENSCARG00000036244.1)
Source: RNAcentral
AUGAAAAGAUCAAUCUCAGAAACAUUCAGCUCUGUGUCUGUGAAGAGUGAUCAUUCAAUAGGUGGUGUACCAGACUUAAGUAUGGAAACAACAUCCUCUGCAGAAAGAGAAAGAUCAGGCUCACAUGUAUCCAGCUUUGUGUCCAUGAAGAGUGACCAUUCAAAAGAUGGUGGAACACCAAAUUCAGUGAGAAAACAACAUCUACGAAAAGGUAUUUAUUGUGUUUCUUGUUGUUGGUCACAGGUAGGCUGUCACUAUCAUGAAAAAUAAUUUCCAUUGAACCCUUUUUCUGAAUGGAUUAAUGCUGGGUUUCCAUGAGAUUUGUUGUUUUGAUUGAUCUAGUACAAAGGACAUAAGACCACAGUAAAUAUUGGUUCAGAAAUUACACGGUGGGAAGCUCUAAAAGCACAGAAGGGAAUGAGAAGUGAUGUGGAACUGGCAACUUUUCUUCUCAACAAGUAAGAACACCAGCACAUCUUUUAGAUACCACAGUUUUCAUUUUAGUUUAAUUUGCAACAUAAGUAAUCAACUAUACAGUAUUGUUCAAAAUAAUACAAGUACAAUUUGACUAACCAGAAUAAUCCAGGUUUUAAUAUAUUUUUUAUUGAUACGUGGCAAACAAGUUACCAGUAGGUGCAGUAGAUUCUCAGAAAACAAACAAGACCCAGCAUUCAGGAUAUGCAUGCUCUUAAGGCUGUGCAGUUGGGCAAUUAGUUGAAAGGGGUGUGUUCAAAAAAAUAGCCAGUGUGGCAUUCAAUCACUGAGGUCAUCAUUUUGUGAAAAAACCGGUGUGGAUCAGGUGGCCCCUAUUUACAGAUGAAGCCAGCACUUGUUGAACAUGCAUUUUAAAGGCCUGAGGAAAAUGUAAAAUAAAAAUUAACAGAAAAUUUAAUUAAAAAGUUGAUUGGAGAGGGGAAAAUCUAUAAAGAAAAUUAUAGGCUGUUCAGCUAAAAUGAUCUCCAAUGCCCUAAAAUUGAGAGCAAAACCAGAGAGACGUGGGAAGAAAAAAAAAUGGUUUCUCACAUAUUUAUCUUAUAUCAGAAAUGUUGUAUUUUAUUUCAUUUAAUAUGAACAAUGGC